GUCUCAAUCUCCUGACCUUGUGAUCCACCCGCCUCAGCCUUCCAAGUACUGGGAUUACAGGCGUGAGCCACUGCGUCCGGCCAUUACAGCUUUUCUAAUAGGACUCCACACAGGUCAAGGUUUGACCCAUCUUCCUCCACAUCGUGCCCCUAGCACCAAGAACAAUGGCUGCUACGUAACAGGUUUUGCUGAAUGGUGCAGAAGAGAACUCAAACAGUUGGGAGGACAUGAAAGAUACAGACAACGCUGAAGGGAAGGAGAAGCAGCAGCAGAUGGCUGACUACUGGGAAGUGCAUCCUCCUGUUGUAAGCAUCCUGCUUACGAUGUAAUCCCUACUCCAUUAGGAACCUCUUGCAGAGCACGACUGCAGUACUGUGGAAAUGGCUGUAGGAGAUUACUCCUUCUGAGCCAUCUACGAUAAAAAAAUCAACAAAGCAUUGUUACUACAGGCCACUUGACGGGCUAUGAGAGAAGACUAGUUGUUCAUGGUGGUCUUCAUUGUAAGACUGUAUUUACAGUUCUAAAGUGGCUUAAGUGCUAUAAGGGGAAGGGAUUAAAAAAACAAUCUAACCUGAGAAGGAUACAAAGCUGAAGCUGCUAAGAUUCCAGGUCUCUUUUCCCUUCUUACUUUCUUAUGUCAACAAUUAGAAAAGUCUCAGAUACUUUUUUUUUAAAGGCCUUUGUUAUGAUCGAAAUGUCUGUGUCCUUUGUCCUGCCCAAAUCCGUAAACUGAAACCUAAUGACCAAUGCGAUGGAGAGGAGGAAGGCCUCUGGGAGGGAAAGGGAUUUGCAUCCCUCCAAAAGAGGUUCCAGAGAGCUGCCCUGCUCCUUCAACCACGGGAGGACGCAGCAGGAAAGUGCCACCUUCACCUGAUCCGGAUUCAGCCAGCACCUUGAUCUUGGACUUCCCAGCCUCCAGGAUUGUGAGAAAUAAAUUUCUGUUGUUUAUAA
Molecule: long non-coding RNA, 951 nt
Filed under: Homo sapiens (human)
Lineage: Eukaryota; Metazoa; Chordata; Mammalia; Primates; Hominidae
Description: HSALNT0126070
Source: RNAcentral